Molecule: long non-coding RNA, 5329 nt
Organism: Oncorhynchus tshawytscha (Chinook salmon)
Lineage: Eukaryota; Metazoa; Chordata; Actinopteri; Salmoniformes; Salmonidae
Source: Ensembl
CUGCAGCAGAGGUAACUCUGGGUCUUCCUGCAGCAGAGGUAACUCUGGGUCUUCCUGCAGCAGAGGGAACUCUGGGUCUUCCUGCAGCAGAGGUAACUCUGGGUCUUCCUGCAGCAGGGGUAACUCUGGGUCUUCCUGCAGCAGGGGUAACUCUGGGUCUUCCUGCAGCAGGGGUAACUCUGGGUCUUCCUGCAGCAGGGGUAACUCUGGGUCUUCCUGCAGCAGGGGUAACUCUGGGUCUUCCUUUCCUGUGACGGUCCUCAUGAGGGACAGUUUCAUCAUAGCGCUAGAUUGUUUUUGUAACUGUACUUGAAGAAACUUUCAAAGUUCUUGACAUUUUCCGUAUUGACUUACCUUCAUGUCUUAAAGUAAUGAUGGACUGUCGUUUCUCUUUGCGUAUUUGAGGUGUUCUUGCCAUAAUAUGGACUUAGCCCUAAUUGGUAAAAGACCAUCUUCUGUAUACCACCCAUACCUUGUCACAACACAACUGAUCGGCUCAAAUGCAUUACGAAGGAAAGAAAUUCCACAAGUUAACUUUUUAACAAGGCACACCUGUCAUUUAAAAUGCAUUCCAGGUGACUACAUCAUGAAGCUGGUUGAGAGAUGCUAAAAGUGUGCAAAGCGGUCAUCAAGGCAAAGGGUGGCUGUUUGAAGAAUCUCAAAUAUAAAAUAUAUUUUGAUUUGUUUAACUUUUUUUUGUUAACUACAUGAUUCCAUAUGUGUUAUUUCAUAUUUUUGAUGUCUUUACUAUUAUUCUACAGAGUAGAACAUUUUACAAAUAUAGAAAAACCCUGGAAUGAGUAGGUGUGUCCAAACUUGUGACUGGUACUGUAUAUGUAUGUAUAUAAUGGUGUGUGUAGAUGUUAUGGACAGUAUAUGUGAGUAGAGAAGGUGUGUACAGCAGUAGUUAAAAACGAUGGGCUAUGACUAGAAUGCAGUAUAUACAUAUGCAGUGGGUAAAACAUGUAAACAUUAUUGAAGUGUCCAGUGAUUAAUGCUUGAAGGGCACUAUGGCGUUAACGGCUGAGCUGUAGUCCAUGAACAGCAUUCUGACAGUUAUUCCUCUUGUCCAGAUGGGAUAGGGCAGUGCCAAUGGUGAUUAUGUCAUCCGUGGAUCUGUUUUUAUUAUUUAACUAGGCAAGUCAGUUAAGAACAAUUUCUUAUUUACAAUGACGGCCUACCGGGGAACAGUGCCUUGUUCAAGGGCAGAACAACAGAUUUUUACCUUGUCAGCUCGGGGAUUCCAUUUAGCAACCUUUCAGUUACUGGCCCAAUGCUCUAAUCACUAGGCUACCUGUGGCUCUACGGUGUUUGGUAAGGUGGAGUUGAUAUGAUCCUUAACUAGCCUCUCAAAGCAUUUUAUGAUGACAGAAGUGAGUGCUAUGGGGCAAUAGUCAUUUAGUUCAUUUUCCUUCACUUUCUUUGGUACCGGAACAAUGGUGGACACCUUGAAGCAAGUGGGGACAUCAGACUGGAAUAGGGAGAGAUUGAACAUGUCCGUAAGCACUCCAGCCAGCUAGUCUGAACAUGCUUUGAGGAUACGGCCAUCUGGGCCAGCAGCCUUAAGAGGGUUAAAUGCCAUGUCUGACACGGAGAAAGAGAGCUCAUACUCCUCGGUGGCCCACAUCAACGGCACUGUGUUUUCCUUGAAGAGGGAGCAGGUGUUUAGCUUGUCCGGGAGUAAGGUGUCAGUGACCGACAUGGCUGGAGACCCUAUCACAUAUGUUUUCAGUUUUGUGCGAAUGCUGCCGUCUCCACGGUUAUUUGUUUUGGAUAAGUUCUAAUCGUAACAGUGGUAACCUCUAUGCACUUCCUGGUGAACCCAGUCAGCAAGUCAGUUUAUACGUCAUUGAACCCAGUCACCAAGUGUAUACGUCAACGUUGUUAGAUUGUUCGACAUUGGUCUGACCAAUCGCAAUCAGGUACAGGUACUUCCUGUUUAAGUUUCUACCUAUAGGAAGGGAGGAGCAGAAGGGAGGCGUGAUCUGAUUUGCCAAAGGCAGGGCGUGGGAGGGACUUGCAACCGUCCUGGGAGGGAGAGUAGCAAUGGUCGAGAAUUCUUGAUUAGCGAGUAGCGCAGGUGAUGUUUUGAUAAAACUUCAGUGGCAUUUUCCUCAGAUUCGCUUUAUUGAAGCUACAAUAAAGGCAGCCUCGGGAUAUGCAAUUUCCAGUUUGUACAAAGUCCAGUGUUUAUUUUAUUUAUUUUUAUUUCACCUUAAUUUAACCAGGUAGGACAGUUGAGAACAAGUUCUCAUUUACAACUGCGACCUGGCCAAGAUAAAGCAAAGCAGCGCAACACAAACAACAACAGAUGGAAUAAAUAAACAUACAGUCAAUAACACAAUAGUAAGUCUAUAUACAGUGUGUGCAAAUGAGGUAGGAUAAAUGAGGCAAGGAAAUAAAUAGCCCAUAGUGGCGAAAUAAUUACAAUUUAGCAAUUAAACCCCCUUGAGUGAUAGAGAUGAGCAGAAGAUGAAUGUGCAAGUAGAGAUACUGGGGUGCAAAGGAGCAAAAAAAUAAAUAAUAUGGGGAUGAGGUAGUUGGGUGAGCAAUUUACAGUUGGGCUAUGUACAGGUGCAAUGAUCUGUAAGCUGCUCCGACAGCUGAUGUCUAUAGUUAGUGAGGGAGAUAUGAGGCAGCAGAGAACUGGAAGGAGAGGCGGCCAAAGGCAGAAUUGGCUUUUGGAGUGACCAGUGAGAUAUAUAUCUGUUGGAGCGCGUGCUACGGGUGGGUGCUGCUAUGGUGACCAGUGAGCUGAGAUAAGGUGGACUCUUUACCUAGCAAAGACUUAUAGAUGACCUGAAGCCAGUGGGUUUGGUGACGAAUAUGAAGCGAAGGCCAGCCAACGAGAGCAUACAGAUCACGGUGGUGGGUAGUAUAUGGGGCUUUGGUGACAAAACAGAUGACAUUGUGAUAGACUGCAUCCAAUUUGUUGGAGGCUAUUUUAUAGAUGACAUUGCCAAAGUCAAGGAUCGGUUGGAUGGUCAGUUUUACCAGGGUAUGUUUGGCAGCAUGAGUGAAGGAUGCUUUGUUUACGAAAUAGGAAGCAGAUUCUAGAUUUAAUUUUGGAUUGGAGAUGCUUAAUAUGAGUCUGGAAGGAGAGUUUACAGUCUAACCAGACACCUAGGUAUUUGUACUUGUCCACAUAUUCUAAGUCAGAACCGUCCAGAGUAGUGAUGCUAGACGGGAGAGCUUUUAGUUUUACUUGCAUUUAAAAGCAGUUGGAGGCCACGGAAGGAGUGUUGUAUUGAAGCUCGUCUGGAGGUUGGUUAACAGUGUCCAAAGAAGGACCAAAAGUAUACAGAAUGGUGUCGUUCCAGUGUAAUUCCUUGAGCCGUCAUGGUCUCAGCUUGAGGGGGAAUAUGAUGUUACUGAUGCCUCUCUGGAAGGAGAGCCCUGAUCUCGUCUUAAGUUAUUGUCCAGGGACUGAACAUUAGGAAGUAAUGUUUCAGGGAAGUCUUAUUUGUGAUGGAAAUGCGGGUGAGUGAUCUAAUAACUAAAAGUAAUUUUUUGGCAGUAGGUAAUAAUACAAGAAACCUUCUGAGAAAAUAAUGUAAGAUAUAACACAAAAACAACUGUACUGUAAAGUUGGCUAGGAGCUAGAAGCAGGGUGACCAUGUCUGUUGGCGCCAUCUUAUUUAUGACUUUGUGGUUGUGGUAACUAGUGAAGACCAGGUACAACUCUGAUAUAAAGGUUUUUUUCUCAAAGUUGCUGGAAUGCCAUGUGCCCUACUUAUAUCAGUACACUCGUAACGACCUAAUCAUUUCAAAACUUGUUCGAUGAAAUAAGCCAUUAAAUAUGUUAACGAAAUUCGCCACUCAUUGACCUCCAUACAAAAACUCCUUUCUUGGUGAGCGACAAAUAUAUAAAAACGCCCCCUGCUGGAGAAGUCUGACUUUAGGCCCUGUUAUCUCUCUUGCUUCAAGUCUUCCUCCUUUUGUGUCCCAAAUGCACCCUAUUCCUUACACUUAUAUAGUGCACGACCAGGGCGCUUGGCUCAAAUCAAAAGGAGUGCACUAUACAGGGAAUAGCGUGCCAUUUGGGAUCAUUCCUUAGCGUGAUAGAUCUAACGCCUGGAUAUGUAUUCUAAGUAUCAGCUCACAUACACUAUAUAUACAAAAGUAUGUGGACACCCCUUUAAAUGAGUGGAUUUGGCUAUUUCAGCCACACCCGUAGCUGACACGUCGAUCACACAGCCAUGCAAUCUCCAUAGACAAACACUGGCAGUAGAAUGGCCUUCCUGAAGGGCUCAGUGACUUUCAACAUGGCACCAUCAUAGGAUACCACCUUUCCAACAAGUCGGUUCGUCAAAUUUGUGUCCUGCUAGAGCUGCCUCUGUCAACUGUAAAUGCUGUUAAUGUGAAGUGAAAACGUCUAGGAGCAACAACGGCUCAGCUGUGAAGUGGUAGGCCACAUCAGCUCACCGAACGGGACCGCCGAGUGCUGAAGCACAUAGAGCGUAAAAAUUCUGUCCUCGGUUGCAACACUCACUACAGAGUUCCAAACUGCCUCUGGAAGCAACAUCAGCACAAUUACUGUUCGGCUGGAGCUUCAUGGAAUUGGUUUCCAUGGCAGAGCAGCCACACACAAGCCUAAGAUCACCAUGUGCAAUGUCAAGCGUCGGCUGGAGUGGUGUAAAGGUCACGGGACAUUGGACUCUGGAGCAGUGGAAACACGUUCUUUGGAGUGAUAAAUCACGCUUCACCAUCAGGCAGUCCAAUCAACAAAGCUGGGUUUGGCAGAUGCCAGAAGAACGCUACCUGCCCGAAUGCAUAGUGCCAACUAAAGUUUGUUGGAGAAGGAAUAAUGGUCUGGGGCUGUUUUUCAUGGUCCGGGCUAGGCCCCUUAGUUCCAUUGAAGGGAAAUCUCAACGCUACAGCAUACAAUGACAUUCUAGACGAUUCUGUGCUUCCAACUUUGUAGCAACAGUUUUGGGGAAGGCCCUUUACUUUUUCAGCAUGAUCAAACACCGUUGGGAUGAAUUGGAACGCUGACUGCGAGCCGAGCCUAAUCGCCCAACAUCAGUGCCCAACCUCACUAAUUCUCUUGUAGCUGAAUGGAAGAAAGACCCCUGCAGCAAUGUUAAAAUAUCUAGUGGAAAGCCUUUCCCAGAAGAGUGGAGGCUGUUAUAGCAGCAAAUACCCAUGAUUUUGGAUUGAGAUGUUCGACAAGCAGGUGUCCACAUACUUUUGGUCAUGUAGUGUAGGUUAUAGCAAUUUGUCAGUCCAUGACACAGUCCAUCACACAGUCCAUCACACAGUCCAUCACACAGUCCAUCACACAGUCCAUCACACAGUCCAUCACACAGUCCAUCACACAGUCCAUCAC